Molecule: ribosomal RNA, 441 nt
Filed under: uncultured bacterium
Lineage: Bacteria
Description: partial 16S ribosomal RNA
Rfam family: Bacterial small subunit ribosomal RNA
Source: RNAcentral
CCUACGGGUGGCAGCAGUCGGGACUAUUGCGCAAUGGAGGAAACUCUGACGCAGUGACGCCGCGUAUAGGAAGAAGGUUUUCGGAUUGUACACUAUUGUCGUUAGGGAAGAUAAAAGACUGUACCUAAGGAGGAAGCCCCGGCUAACUAUGUGCCAGCAGCCGCGGUAAUACAUAGGGGGCAAGCGUUAUCCGUAAUUAUUGGGUGUAAAGGGUGCGUAGACGGAAGAACAAGUUGGUUGUGAAAUCCCUCGGCUCAACGGAGGAACUGCAACCAAAACUAUUCUCCUUGAGUGUCGGAGAGGAAAGUGGAAUUCCUAGUGUAGCGGUGAAAUCCGUAGAUAUCUGGAGGAACAUCAGUGGCGAAGGUGACUAUCUGGCACAUAACUGACGCUGAGGAGCGAAAGCGUGGGUAGCAAACAGGAUUAGAUACCCGUGUAGUC